This 657-nucleotide ribosomal RNA is filed under the name uncultured bacterium. RNAcentral's name for it is "bacterial SSU rRNA". It matches the Rfam family "Bacterial small subunit ribosomal RNA", at positions 347 to 1002 of the family's 1533-position model. The record is from RNAcentral.
GGCAGCAGUGGGGAAUAUUGGACAAUGGGCGGAAGCCUGAUCCAGCAACGCCGCGUGAGGGAUGACUGCCUUCGGGUUGUAAACCUCUUUCAUCAUUGACGAAGCUCAGCGUUUAGUUGGGUGACGGUAGGUGGAGAAGAAGCACCGGCCAACUACGUGCCAGCAGCCGCGGUAAUACGUAGGGUGCGAGCGUUGUCCGGAAUUAUUGGGCGUAAAGGGCUCGUAGGCGGUUUGUCGCGUCGGGAGUGAAAACACUGGGCUUAACCGAGUGCUUGCUUUCGAUACGGGCAGACUAGAGGUAUGCAGGGGAGAACGGAAUUCCUGGUGUAGCGGUGAAAUGCGCAGAUAUCAGGAGGAACACCGGUGGCGAAGGCGGUUCUCUGGGCAUUACCUGACGCUGAGGAGCGAAAGUGUGGGGAGCGAACAGGAUUAGAUACCCUGGUAGUCCACACCGUAAACGUUGGGCGCUAGGUGUGGGGUCUAUUCCAUGGACUCCGUGCCGCAGCUAACGCAUUAAGCGCCCCGCCUGGGGAGUACGGCCGCAAGGCUAAAACUCAAAGGAAUUGACGGGGGCCCGCACAAGCGGCGGAGCAUGCGGAUUAAUUCGAUGCAACGCGAAGAACCUUACCUGGGUUUGACAUAUACCGGAAAGCCUUA